UGCCAGCAGCCGCGGUAAUACGGAAGGUGCGAGCGUUAAUCGGAAUUACUGGGCGUAAAGCGCACGUAGGUGGCUUGGUAAGUCGGAUGUGAAAGCCCUGGGCUCAACCUGGGAAUUGCAUUCGAUACUGCUUAGCUAGAGUAUGAGAGAGGGUUGGUAGAAUUCCUGGUGUAGGAGUGAAAUCCGUAGAUAUCAGGAGGAAUACCGGAGGCGAAGGCGGCCAACUGGCAGUGCAUUGACGCUGAGGUGCGAAAGCGUGGGGAGCAAACAGGAUUAGAUA
Molecule: ribosomal RNA, 280 nt
Filed under: uncultured bacterium
Lineage: Bacteria
Description: partial 16S ribosomal RNA
Rfam family: Bacterial small subunit ribosomal RNA
Source: RNAcentral